CCUAUGUGAGCGGCAUUUGCAUGUUUUCCCUGUGCUUCGGGGGGUUUUUUCCCGGGUACUCCGGUUUACUUCCCCAGUCCAAAGACAUGCACUGUAGACAUGCAAAUUCCAAAUACAUUCAUUGCGAUUUCCAAAUUGUCUGUAGUGUGUGAAUGGGUGUGUGAUUAUGCCCUGUGAUGUGUUCGUACCCAUCCACAGUGUCCCUUGACUCAUGUCCCGAGUCCCCUGAGAUAGGCUUCAGGAGGUAACAGAUGGAUAAUCGUUUGAGUGUGCAAUAAAGAAAGGGAGUGUAUAAGAGUGUAAGCACAUGUAGAUGUGAGGGUAUGGAUGUAUUUUUCACCUCAAGAAGAUGUGUACUUGUGCUCAGGUGCACCUGACACUCAUGAAUCCUACGCUGAAACAGACCCAGUUUUGUGUACAAGCCCUGAAACACAGAUAUACUAAUAAAGAAAUUUAACAAACCCCCUGAGCAGCAUCACUUUAUCAGGUGUUGAUUCACUGACGAGUAAUUCAUUAAGUAAUUAAUUUAUUAAUCCCACAUUCAUUUAUAAUCCAACCUCAGUGUCAGUGAGGACAGUGUGAGGAUCCUCAAUGCCCUGACACUUUUCUGGCUGCAGGGUCACUUUGUUGUGCAGAUCCUCUAGCAGCUCCCAGUACCCCUGCAACUCCUGCUGAACAUUAACUAUGCAUACCCCAUACUGAUCCUGGGUCUGAAGGAGAAAGUGCAGGGCACUCACCCUGAGAAUGGGAAGGAAGAUAAGAGAGUGUAAUAAGGUUUGUACUUUUAUGUAUGCUCAUAUAUUGCUAUUUGCCAGCUAGCUAAAUAACUAAAGGAAGCUAUACAAUUUAUAUUAUCCUAAGCCUACUCCUAAACGUCUACAGGCUAAUAGGAAAAAAAGAAUGCAAAAGCAUUUUGGUGGCAUAAGCUUCACCUCUCUUGCAGGUAAGUGCAAAUAUGUUUCACCCUGUCUUCUACUCUAGUCUUGAUCACUUUGUCCUCCUUAUUGUUGGCCGACAGCAGUCGCUCCUCGAUAAGGAAACUAUUGUUUACUGCUACUAUUAUUAAUUGAUACACUGCCUGUAGAAAAGAGAGGCAAACAAAUAAAUAAGGGGUUAUUAGAGCACACCUGAAAAAAGUACUUUGUAAUGUCAUACAGGUGAGCUUCAGGUUCAAAGUCAGACGUGGCAAGUGAAGGUGAUUGGGUGAAUGAGUUAUCUAUUUGGAUGCCAUGUUUGAGUGCCUGGUCAUGUUAACCCGUAAAUACAUGGAUGUACAACUGCCAAAACAUUUUAGAAUUUUAUCUAAUUUUAUAUAAAUCGAAUUUUAUAUUAUAUAUACACUGUAUGUUUGGUAUAUUUUAAUAUUUAGUUUGUUACUUAAGGCAUAUACAUUGUGCUACAAAUGUACUACAGAUUGUGUCCAUUAUUACUUAUAGACAGAUACACUAUAUGGCCAAAGGUUUGUGGAAACCUGACAAUCACACCCAUAUGUGGGUUUUCACCAGAAUGAUGCCACAGAGUUGGAAGCUCACAAUUGUGUACAGUAGAAUGCAUGUGUAUGCUGUAGCAUUACAAUUUUCCUUCACUGGAACUAAGGGGCUUAGCCCAAACCUGUUCCAGCAUGACAAUGCCCCUGUGUACAAAGCAAGGUUUAUGAAAACAUGGUUUGCUAAGCUUGAAGUGUAAUAAUUCAAAUAGCCUGCUGAUUGGACCCCAGGUAUUCUUGCCUAACAUCAGUACCUGACCUCAGACCAUAGCAAACAAAUUAAGCUGAAAAUGUUACGGUUAAGGUUGUUAAGGUGCUUGAAAAGCAUCAUGGCUGGUAUUUUAAACAAAUUAAAAUAAUUGUUAAUGUUAAUCUUCUUAAAGUCUUUGUUGACAAUUCCAAUCUUAAAUUCUGUUAAAAUUCUAAUGACUUCUUUUGAAUGACCAAUGAUUUAGCUAAAUUUAGCUAAAUCUGCUUAUAUCUAUUUCACAGAUAUAAGCAGAUGUUCUA
Molecule: long non-coding RNA, 1996 nt
Organism: Ictalurus punctatus (channel catfish)
Lineage: Eukaryota; Metazoa; Chordata; Actinopteri; Siluriformes; Ictaluridae
Source: Ensembl